GAGAGUAGGCGCAGGUGGUUGCGGGUUUGCUUGCAAGAGUGAAUCUGAGGAAAGUCCGGACUCCCGAAAAACCAAACUUGCUGGAUAACGCCCAGUGCAGGUGACUGUGAGGAUAGUGCCACAGAAAGAUACCGCCAGUUUGUUAUUUGUUAUUGGUAAUUAGUUAUUUGCAAACAACAAAGGACUAGUGACUAAUGACAAAGGACAAAUUUGGUAAGGGUGCAAAGGUGUGGUAAGAGCGCACCAGCAGCAUCGAGAGGUGCUGGCUCGGUAAACCCCGGUUGGGUGCAAGGCCGAAGGGAGUACGGUUGGUUUUUUACCGCUCCCGCCAAUUAGAGCCGCUUGAGGUGUCUGGUAACAGGCAUCCCAGAUAGAUAACUACCCUUUAGGUUGGUAACAGCCUGGAGAACAGAAUCCGGCUUAUGUCCUACUCUCUCUU
Molecule: RNase P RNA, 439 nt
Filed under: Limnofasciculus baicalensis BBK-W-15
Lineage: Bacteria; Bacillati; Cyanobacteriota; Cyanophyceae; Coleofasciculales; Coleofasciculaceae
Description: RNase P RNA component class A
Rfam family: Bacterial RNase P class A
About the family: Ribonuclease P (RNase P) is a ubiquitous endoribonuclease, found in archaea, bacteria and eukarya as well as chloroplasts and mitochondria. Its best characterised activity is the generation of mature 5'-ends of tRNAs by cleaving the 5'-leader elements of precursor-tRNAs.
Source: RNAcentral